RNAcentral lists this transfer RNA (70 nucleotides) under Loxodonta africana (African savanna elephant). It matches the Rfam family "tRNA". From Rfam's summary of the family: Transfer RNA (tRNA) molecules are approximately 80 nucleotides in length. Their secondary structure includes four short double-helical elements and three loops (D, anti-codon, and T loops). The record is from Rfam by way of RNAcentral. Lineage: Eukaryota; Metazoa; Chordata; Mammalia; Proboscidea; Elephantidae.
GCAGUGGUGGUUCUGCGGUAGAGUUCUGCCUUUCACGCAGGAGACCUGGGUUCGAUUCCCAGCCAGGGCA